CCUCUUGAAGAUGAAGAAAACAUCUCCUACAUGAUGCGGGGACUCGGUCCUGAGUUUGGUCCUUUGGUGACAAGCAUCACUAUCUGCACUGAUCAUGUCACAAUCAACGACAUCUACGCACAUAUGCUUAGCUAUGAGC
Phragmites australis (common reed) is the source of this 139-nucleotide small nucleolar RNA. RefSeq annotates it as small nucleolar RNA Z247. The record is from RefSeq and is a predicted model, not a curated record. Lineage: Eukaryota; Viridiplantae; Streptophyta; Magnoliopsida; Poales; Poaceae. The transcript has a single exon.